GUAGGUGGCAAGCGUUGUCCGGAAUUAUUGGGCGUAAAGCGCGCGCAGGCGGUUCUUUAAGUCUGAUGUGAAAGCCCACGGAUCAACCGUGGAGGGUCAUUGGAAACUGGAGAACUUGAGUACAGAAGAGGAAAGCGGAAUUCCACGUGUAGCGGUGAAAUGCGUAGAGAUGUGGAGGAACACCAGUGGCGAAGGCGGCUUUCUGGUCUGUAACUGACGCUGAGGCGCGAAAGCGUGGGGAGCAAACAGGAUUAGAUACCCUGGUAGUCCACGCCGUAAACGAUGAGUGCUAAGUGUUAGGGGGGUUUCCGCCCCCCUUAGUGCUGCAGCUAACGCAUUAAGCACUCCGCCUGGGAGUACGGCCACAAGGCUG
Molecule: ribosomal RNA, 373 nt
Filed under: uncultured organism
Description: partial 16S ribosomal RNA
Rfam family: Bacterial small subunit ribosomal RNA
Source: RNAcentral